This 406-nucleotide ribosomal RNA is filed under the name uncultured bacterium. Its description in RNAcentral is "bacterial SSU rRNA". It matches the Rfam family "Bacterial small subunit ribosomal RNA", at positions 355 to 775 of the family's 1533-position model. The record is from RNAcentral.
UGGGGAAUAUUGGGCAAUGGGCGGAAGCCUGACCCAGCGACGCCGCGUGGGGGAAGAAGUCUUUCGGGAUGUAAACCCUUGUUGUACGGGACGAAGGAAGUGACGGUACCGUACGAGGAAGCCCCGGCAAACUACGUGCCAGCAGCCGCGGUAAUACGUAGGGGGCGAGCGUUGUCCGGUAUCACUGGGCGUAAAGCGCACGUAGGCGGGCUGUCAAGUCGGCCGUGAAAGUCACGGGCUCAACCUGUGCAUGUCGGUCGAUACUGGCGGUCUGGAGUAUGGGAGAGGGAACUGGAAAUCCCGGUGUAGCGGUGAAAUGCGUAGAUAUCGGGAGGAACACCAGUGGCGAAGGCGGGUUCCUGGACCAUGACUGACGCUGAGGUGCGAAAGCCGGGGGAGCGAACGG